Molecule: long non-coding RNA, 999 nt
Organism: Stomoxys calcitrans (stable fly)
Lineage: Eukaryota; Metazoa; Arthropoda; Insecta; Diptera; Muscidae
Exons: 3
Source: RefSeq, a predicted model, not a curated record
AAUUAUACAACCCUGUGGCGAUGGUGGCGCAAACUCCAACUAGGACUCAAAAUUUCUGGACACUUCCUAAAUGACAUUCUAGUUUUUAUUUGCAUUUCGUGUGUAGUAGUCAUAAGAUCAAAAGAAUUAUAAUUAUAAACAUGUAAAUUGUAAAUUAAAACAAUUAAAAUGUGGAAAAAGGAAUAACAUGUGGAAUAAUUUUAAAAUCCAAACCAAGCGUUUGACGUUCUAGUGGGAUUUGAAAACAUCUUUGGAGUUGGACAAUAUCAUCAGCUGGGCAGAAUCCGCAAUUACUUUUUGGGCAACCCAAUAUGUGGAUUUCAUAGUAUUCAACGCAAAAUGCUAAGAUUGGCGGUGUAACCGACAACGAAGAGAGGCUCAAAAUGGAAUCGAAAAUGUUUCUUUUUAGAAGCCUGUAGUGGUAUUCAGUAAAGUUUUAACCAUGCUUUUUAACCAUGCUAUUGACUUAACUUUCUAUAAAUUUGUCUAGGCAGUACAGGACUUCUCAAUGAUGACCAAGCAUUUCGAUUUCGGUGGAUUCAACAACAAAACAGCUGUAACCCACUUAUUCACUUUAUAAAGAUCGUCAUUAAGUUUCUCAAAACAAUUUGGUAUUAGGUCUAUUCGGGUACUUUUCUAGUAAAAAUUUGCAGGAGAGAAUAAGAAUUUAGCUCUUUCGCACUCGCGCUCUCCUUUGCUAGCAAAUAAAGUACGCGAACGAUUUCCAGUAACAAUCUGUGCAAAUUUCCACAAAUUGUAGAGUACACGUACAUACUUAUUAUCGAUAGAAUCGUUGCGAUAGAUUUUAACGUCAAAGAGAGCAUGAAUAAAAUUCAGUUCGGUGCAAUCUAUUGGUGCCGUAUAUUUGAAGAAACUAAACAGAAUUACCAACAUCAACAAAAAUAGAUAGAUAGUCAAACUGGAUCGUAUGGUAUUUAUCUUUUUUGUGACAAGCUGUCGGUCCUUUGAAUAUAGCAGAAUAAAAAAAAGUUAAAUGAG